Molecule: transfer RNA, 63 nt
Filed under: Oxytelus sp. OXY01
Lineage: Eukaryota; Metazoa; Arthropoda; Insecta; Coleoptera; Staphylinidae
Description: tRNA-Thr
Source: RNAcentral
GUUUUAAUAAUUUAAUAAAAAUAUUGAUUUUGUAAAUCAAAAAUAAGGUACUCUUUUAAAACU